AGGAGAAAAACCAUAUGAACAUCUCAAUAGAUUCAGAGAAAGCUUUCGACAAAAUUCAACACCCAUUUAUGAUAAAACCCCUCCAGAAAGUAGGCAUAGAGGGAACUUUCCUCAACAUAAUAAAGGUCAUAUAUGACAAACCCACAGCCAACAUUGUCCUCAAUGGUGAAAAACUGAAAGCAUUUCCACUAAGAUCAGGAACAAGACAAGGUUGCUCACUCUCACCACUCUUAUUCAACAUAGUUUUGGAAGUUUUAGCCACAGCAAUCAGAAAAGAAAAAGAAAUAAAUGUAAUCCAAAUAGGAAAAGAAGAAAUAAA
Orcinus orca (killer whale) is the source of this 319-nucleotide long non-coding RNA. RefSeq lists it as uncharacterized. The transcript is spliced from 2 exons. The record is from RefSeq and is a predicted model, not a curated record. Lineage: Eukaryota; Metazoa; Chordata; Mammalia; Artiodactyla; Delphinidae.